RNAcentral lists this long non-coding RNA (1543 nucleotides) under Gossypium raimondii (Peruvian cotton). Its description in RNAcentral is "long non-coding RNA (GRAI_LNC004837)". The record is from RNAcentral. Lineage: Eukaryota; Viridiplantae; Streptophyta; Magnoliopsida; Malvales; Malvaceae.
CAAUAUCAGUAAUGGACACGGAAGGGAAUAGGGGUGUAAUACGAUUACACCCGACCAAACAAGCUCUAAAGGAAUGGCGAGAUGAAUGUGGAUGCAUAAAUUCUGUCGGAGGCAAAUGACUUGCGGAAAUUUAUAGUUACAUGACUCAGGUUAAUAUAAAAAAUUGUACAUUUUAAACUUUUAAUUUAUUGAUUGAAUUCUAAUUUUUAACUUUGGUUUAGAACAUCAGGAGAUUUGCGUGAGUAAGUGACUCAAUAUUUAAAAAAAAAUUAAUUUUAAAAUAUUUUUAUGUUAUUUAUGUGAUAUAUGAUAUUUUUGACCAUAUUUUAUGAAAAUCAAGUUAAAAAUGCUAGUAGUAUUAAAAUUUGAAACAUGUAUGUUUGAAUUAUCUAAAUAUUAUUUUUUUCUAUAUUUAAAUUUCAUCAUAUGAUUAUGAAAUAUGUUUCGGUGUAUAUAUAAAAUAUGUUUUGCAAAAAUAUGUUGUCGAAUUAUGUUUUUUUAUAUGAAAGACAUUACAGUAAUCCAAUUUUCAUGAUUUUGAGUUUGCUCCUUGUUGAUGUUAGGUGUCAAUAAGGGAGGAAACAUGAAGGAGGGUACGUUGGCGCUGAUGAAGGCUAGUUCACCCAGAUAGGACGGAGAGCUGGAGAACGUAUGUGAGUGAGGAUCUUGAGGACACAAAUAUGGAUGCUGAGGGCAAUAAGGUGGCUAUGUGUACUUAAGGGUCAAUCCAUUCUUCAUCUCAUGUGCGUGCUAAAUGAAGUAUAUAAAGGAGGUUUUGUGUUUGGUGAUGCUGAUUCGGUGAACUUGCUAUCACGCCAUCAUUGUGGGAUGGAUGGGAAAGAUGUUUGUAAUGAGACGCAUUUUGUCAUUCCUUUUGAACUGUGGUAGUUAGAUUCACGUGGAGUUUGUAAACCUAAAAGUCACAUUCUGAACAGAAGAGCAGGUGUUCCUUAAGAAGGGGCAGGCGAAAACCUUCUGUAGAAAGCAGGUAGUAACCUUACAGGGAUGGUUGACAAGAAUCCUUCUGAGGAAGACGAAAGGUUGGUUGGAAUCUGGCCUUCCGAACCAUCAAUCUUCUGGUAAUUGGCCGGUUGGUAGUGAGCGGAGGGAUAUCUCUUGGGUGGCUUGAUGUGCUAACCAAGACCAUUAGCAAGUGAACAUGUUUUGGCUUUAUGUUGUGAACAUGGGAAUGGGAAGUUUGGAAAAUGAUUAUUUCAGACAUUAUUGCAUUUUUUAGCUUUUAAGACUUUUCAAUUUUUCUGAACUUUAUUAGUUUAAUAUAUUUUUUUAUGUAGAGAAGGGAUUGUAAGAAGCUAUAAUUCCACAUCAUCCUUAUCACUUUCUAAUAGGAGAAUGACAAGUCAACUUUUUACUCUUGAGUUUUAGCAUUUUUAGUUGGAUUUGACUUUUUUUUAGGAGGGAAAGGCUGAAAAUCAGGAGGAAAAUUUUGAAUUGUCAUUCUCCUGUUGAAAAAGGAUGACGUGGAAUCACAGUUUCAUACAAUCCUUUCUCCUCCAUGUAAUAGCCUUGCCCUUUAAAAAAU